Oncorhynchus gorbuscha (pink salmon) is the source of this 4299-nucleotide long non-coding RNA. RefSeq lists it as uncharacterized. NCBI's taxonomy places the organism in Eukaryota, Metazoa, Chordata, Actinopteri, Salmoniformes, Salmonidae. The record is from RefSeq and is a predicted model, not a curated record. The transcript has 4 exons.
UACCUGCUUAUCAAUAUGAUUCCUUCAUCUGUUAUGCAGCUGACAACAUUAUCAGUCCUAGUAAAUUAAUUAGCCAUACAUUUAACUUAUCGUCUCUGUCUGAAAACCUCCUCAUACAUUUAACUUAUCGUCUCUGUCCGAAAACCUCCUCAUACAUUUAACUUAUCGUCUCUGUUCGAAAACCUCCUCAUACAUUUAACUUAUCGUCUCUGUCUGAAAACCUCCUCAUACAUUUAACUUAUCGUCUCUGUCCGAAAACCUCCUCAUACAUUUAACUUAUCGUCUCUGUUCGAAAACCUCCUCAUACAUUUAACUUAUCGUCUCUGUUCGAAAACCUCCUCAUACAUUUAACUUAUCGUCUCUGUUCGAAAACCUCCUCAUACAUUUGACUUAUCGUCUCUGUCCGAAAACCUCCUCAUACAUUUAACUUAUCGUCUCUGUUCGAAAACCUCCUCAUACAUUUAACUUAUCGUCUCUGUUCGAAAACCUCCUCAUACAUUUAACUUAUCGUCUCUGUUCGAAAACCUCCUCAUACAUUUAACUUAUCGUCUCUGUUCGAAAACCUCCUCAUACAUUUAACUUAUCGUCUCUGUCUGAAAACCUCCUCAUACAUUUAACUUAUCGUCUCUGUCCGAAAACCUCCUCAUACAUUUAACUUAUCGUCUCUGUUCGAAAACCUCCUCAUACAUUUAACUUAUCGUCUCUGUUCGAAAACCUCCUCAUACAUUUAACUUAUCGUCUCUGUUCGAAAACCUCCUCAUACAUUUAACUUAUCGUCUCUGUCCGAAAACCUCCUCAUACAUUUAACUUAUCGUCUCCGUCUGAAAACCUCCUCAUACAUUUAACUUAUCGUCUCUGUUCGAAAACCUCCUCAUACAUUUAACUUAUCGUCUCCGUCUGAAAACCUUCAAAACAGAAACUUUUCAGGAAUUGGAACAUACCAUUAUGAAACUUUUAUAUAUUUUGAAUAAAUGUUUUGUGUCCUUGAGUCAUGAAAUGUUCAGAGAACAUUGAGGGGAGUUCAUUUAAAGCGGUAAUGUAAAAAUAUAUAUUUGCAAAAUUGGAGUUACAAGGUUUUCAUCAGACAGCGACGUUAUGCUGUUUUGUCCAUUGUUAAAGGUAGGCUAAUAGUUUUAUGUUUUUUGCCAUGAUUUCCUAUUGUUUUUGCCUCUCCUGAGUCCAGGUCUUGUUAUAUAGUAUGUAUUAUUAGAGCUGCCCCCUGCCUGUUAAGCUGCCAAGCAACAGUUCAGCCCCUUUCCAGUGGCCUAGCUACAAUCUGUUUCUCUGGACAGCCAAACCAGUCUCUGUUUCUCUGGACAGCCAAACCUCCUGCCUGCUAGUGGCCUAGCUACAGUCUGUACAGCCAAACUCCCUGCCUGCUAGUGGCCUAGCUACAAUCUGUUUCUCUGGACAGCCAAACCAGUCUCUGUUUCUCUGGGCAGCCAAACCUCCUGCCUGCUAGUGGCCUAGCUACAGUCUGUACAGCCAAACUCCCUGCCUGCUAGUGGCCUAGCUACAAUCUGUUUCUCUGGACAGCCAAACCCCCUGCCUGCUAGUGGCCUAGCUACAGUCUGUACAGCCAAACUCCCUGCCUGCUAGUGGCCUAGCUACAGUCUGUACAGCCAAACCCCCUGCCUGCUAGUGGCCUAGCUACAGUCUGUACAGCCAAACCCCCUGCCUGCUAGUGACCUAGCUACAGUCUGUACAGCCAAACUCACUGCCUGCUAGUGGCCUAGCUACAAUCUGUUUCUCUGGACAGCCAAACCCCCUGCCUGCUAGUGGCCUAGCUACAGUCUGUACAGCCAAACCCCCUGCCUGCUAGUGGCCUAGCUACAGUCUGUACAGCCAAACCCCCUGCCUGCUAGUGGCCUAGCUACAGUCUGUACAGCCAAACCCCCUGCCUGCUAGUGGCCUAGCUACAGUCUGUACAGCCAAACCCCCUGCCUGCUAGUGGCCUAGCUACAGUCUGUACAGCCAAACCCCCUGCCUGCUAGUGGCCUAGCUACAGUCUGUACAGCCAUGUGGUUAAUGCAGGUCAUAUGGAUGGACAACACCACUCACGUGAACGAUCGGGUUGAAAUACAGCCUCCGUCUUUCUGCCCAUGCUGCCUCAGUUACUGUGUUGUGGUUCCAGAACCUCAGUACAGCUGGAAUGGAUCAUUAGGCUCCUCUAUGCUCCAUGACAGAACAGACACAAUAGUUCUGUUGUCAAGUCAUCUGUUCCACUGCUUUUCCUUUUGAGUAACUAGAAGGGAAAUGGUCAGGUCAGGGUAACUAGAAGGGAAAUGGUCAGGUCAGGGUAACUAGAAGGGAAAUGGUCAGGUCAGGGUAACUAGAAGGGAAAUGGUCAGGUCAGGGUAACUAGAAGGGAAAUGGUCAGGUCAGGGUAACUAGAAGGGAAAUGGUCAGGUCAGGGUAACUAGAAGGGAAAUGGUCAGGUCAGGGUAACUAGAAGGGAAAUGGUCAGGUCAGGGUAACUAGAAGGGAAAUGGUCAGGUCAGGGUAACUAGAAGGGAAAUGAAGGUCAGGGUAACUAGAAGGGAAAUGAAGGUCGGGGUAACUAGAAGGGAAAUGAAGGUCGGGGUAACUAGAAGGGAAAUGAAGGUCGGGGUAACUAGAAGGGAAAUGAAGGUCGGGGUAACUAGAAGGGAAAUGAAGGUCGGGGUAACUAGAAGGGAAAUGAAGGUCGGGGUAACUAGAAGGGAAAUGAAGGUCGGGGUAACUAGAAGGGAAAUGAAGGUCGGGGUAACUAGAAGGGAAAUGAAGGUCGGGGUAACUAGAAGGGAAAUGAAGGUCGGGGUAACUAGAAGGGAAAUGAAGGUCGGGGUAACUAGAAGGGAAAUGAAGGUCGGGGUAACUAGAAGGGAAAUGAAGGUCGGGGUAACUAGAAGGGAAAUGAAGGUCGGGGUAACUAGAAGGGAAAUGAAGGUCGGGGUAACUAGAAGGGAAAUGAAGGUCGGGGUAACUAGAAGGGAAAUGAAGGUCGGGGUAACUAGAAGGGAAAUGAAGGUCGGGGUAACUAGGGAAAUGAAGGUCAGGGUAACUAGAAGGGAAAUGAAGGUCGGGGUAACUAGAAGGGAAAUGAAGGUCAGGGUAACUAGAAGAGAAGUGAAGGUCAGGGUAACUAGAAGAGAAAUGAAAGUCAGGUGAAAUGAAGGUCAGGGUAACUAGAAGGGAAAUGAAGGUCGGGGUAACUAGAAGAGAAGUGAAGGUCAGGGUAACUAGAAGAGAAAUGAAAGUCAGGUGAAAUGAAGGUCAGGGUAACUAGAAGGGAAAUGAAGGUCGGGGUAACUAGAAGAGAAAUGAAGGUCGGGGUAACUAGAAGGGAAAUGAAGGUCAGGGUAACUAGAAGAGAAAUGAAGGUCAGGGUAACUAGAAGAGAAGUGAAGGUCAGGGUAACUAGAAGAGAAAUGAAAGUCAGGUGAAAUGAAGGUCAGGGUAACUAGAAGGGAAAUGAAGGUCGGGGUAACUAGAAGAGAAGUGAAGGUCAGGGUAACUAGAAGAGAAAUGAAAGUCAGGUGAAAUGAAGGUCAGGGUAACUAGAAGGGAAAUGAAGGUCAGGGUAACUAGAAGGGAAAUGAAGGUCGGGGUAACUAGAAGGGAAAUGAAGGUCAGGGUAACUAGAAGAGAAGUGAAGGUCAGGGUAACUAGAAGAGAAAUGAAAGUCAGGUGAAAUGAAGGUCAGGGUAACUAGAAGGGAAAUGAAGGUCGGGGUAACUAGAAGAGAAAUGAAGGUCGGGGUAACUAGAAGGGAAAUGAAGGUCAGGGUAACUAGAAGAGAAAUGAAGGUCAGGGUAACUAGAAGAGAAGUGAAGGUCAGGGUAACUAGAAGAGAAAUGAAAGUCAGGUGAAAUGAAGGUCAGGGUAACUAGAAGGGAAAUGAAGGUCGGGGUAACUAAAAGGGAAAUGAAGGUCAGGGUACCUAGAAGAGAAAUGAAGGUCGGGGUAACUAGAAGAGAAAUGGUCAGGUCAGGAUAACUAGAAGGGAAAUGAAGGUCAGGGUAACUAGAAGGGAAAUGAAGGUCGGGGUAACUAGAAGAGAAGAGAAGUGAAGGUCAGGGUAACUAGAAGGGAAAUGGUCAGGGUAACUAGAAGGGAAAUGGUCAGGUCAGGGUAACUAGAAGGGAAAUGAAGGUCAGGGUAACUAGAAGGGAAAUGAAGGUCGGGGUAACUAGAAGGGAAAUGAAGGCUGGGGUAACUAGAAGGGAAAUGAAGGUCAGGGUAUGUAGCCUGUUUAUAUACAACUAGACGGAGGGAGUUUGAUUUAACAUGUGAAUACAGGUUUCCUUGACAUUACUU